This 189-nucleotide unclassified non-coding RNA is filed under the name uncultured Stachybotrys. RNAcentral describes it as "sequence contains ITS2". Lineage: Eukaryota; Fungi; Ascomycota. The record is from RNAcentral.
CCACCCUCAGGCCUCCCUCCUCACGGGGGAAGGGCCUGGUGUUGGGGAUCUACGGGCCCUUUUCUGGCGCUCGUAGUCUCCUAAAUUAAUCGGCGUGCGCGCUGUACGUUGCCCCCUGCGUAGUAGUGAUUUCUCGCAUCGGGCCGUAGCGCUGUCCAGCCGCUAAACUGCAACUACGCAUUUAGCUAG